GGGAUGCAACAUUAUGUGAUGUUGUAAAGAUAUAGACAGAAAAGCUACAAGGUUGUUCUGCUGGAUGUUUUCUUAAAAAGAAACAAAAAACUCGACAGUCUCUGACUAACAUUAACACACCUGAAGCUGAGUGUAUAUUGAAGAAUUAGAAUGGCAGACAGAUACUCCUGGUGGAAAAACUUGAGUGGAAAAAACAAGAAGCAUUUUAAAGAAGGCCAGCACGAAUCUGGAAAUGCGGACAAGACGUCAGUGAAACAGAGCGGCAGCGAGAACAAGAACGGAAGUCUGAUCAGCGGCGAGACGUACGACGACUCUCGGCUGGAGCCUGGCUUCAGUGAACACACGUGCCGGAGGAACUGGACAGUGUCACGGUCUGGCCGUUUUAAGGAGAAAAGAGUGCGGGUCACCAUGCCCGAAAACAACUUUUAUGACAAAAACAUUGCGGCAGCAAAGUAACUAGCCAGUUAUUUUUUUCUGUUUGUAGCCUACUAAAUGAACCUGUUUACACUGCGAGCACGCGACGCGUCUUCUGGAAUUGUGGAUGGAAUCUUGAGAAGUUCGUCUUGUUGCUGGAGCGACGUUCGCUUGUGGUGUAGAGAGGAUGUUAAUGAAGAAAACCCUCAUUCGGUGGAGGCGUGGAGCCAUUGACUCAAUAACACCUGUUACAUUCUACAGUAACCUGGGUUUUGUCUCUGCUGAAGGACGCUGAACGCUUCAUAUGCAUUUUUCAUUUAGGCGUAUUUGCAAAAAGAAAGACAUAGCCUACUGUAGGUAUACUCUAUAGAUGUAAGUAGUUAUUAUUGUUUGUCUGUUUGUAGUCUUUUAUUUAUUAUUCACAAAGGGGAGUUUUAAAGGAAACCUUUUUUUAUUGAAGGAUAUCCAGAAGAUAUGAUGUAAAUGUUUACCCUUUCUGUAUGAGGAUAGAUUUGGUUUGAUUAACAGUAGCCUACUAAAUGUUGCCCCACUGAGAAGUUAUUCGUUUGGAUGUUUUAUCCAAGGUGAUUUGAGACGGAUAUGAAACGGAUCUACUGGUGCGAAAUGAAAUAGAACUGUGAAUUUAACUUACGUAACUUACGUUUAUGUAACUGUGCCAUAGUGAAAGAAUGGAAUGCUGUUAAGCAUGACUCUUGAGUAAAUGCUGUUGUUUGCAAAUAACUUUACACACCACGCUAGUUAUCUGCAUUAGGUGUGAUGAUGACUAUGCCAUCUGUCAAUGAAAGGCCACUUGACUGCA
Carassius auratus (goldfish) is the source of this 1234-nucleotide long non-coding RNA. RefSeq lists it as uncharacterized. The transcript has 2 exons. The record is from RefSeq and is a predicted model, not a curated record. NCBI's taxonomy places the organism in Eukaryota, Metazoa, Chordata, Actinopteri, Cypriniformes, Cyprinidae.